GAUGAAGAACGUAGCGAAAUGCGAUAACUAAUGUGAAUUGCAGAAUUCAGUGAAUCAUCGAGUCUUUGAACGCACAUUGCGCCCUCUGGUAUUCCGGAGGGCAUGCCUGUCCGAGCGUCAUUGCUGCCCUCCAGCCCGGCUGGUGUGUUGGGCCCCGUCCCCCUUCCCGGGGGGACGGGCCCGAAGGGCAGCGGCGGCACCGCGUCCGGUCCUCGAGCGUAUGGGGCUUUGUCACCCGCUCUUGUAGGCCCGGCCGGCGCCAGCCGACCCCCUCAAUCUAUUUUUCAGGUUGACCUCGGAUCAGGUAGGGAUACCCGCUGAACUUAAGCAUAUCAAUAAGCGGAGGA
This 347-nucleotide unclassified non-coding RNA is filed under the name soil metagenome. RNAcentral's name for it is "partial contains 5.8S ribosomal RNA, internal transcribed spacer 2, and large subunit ribosomal RNA". The stretch from base 1 to 120 matches the Rfam family "5.8S ribosomal RNA", at positions 35 to 154 of the family's 154-position model. The record is from RNAcentral.